GAACGGGCGUAGCAAUACGUCAGUGGCGGACGGGUGAGUAACACGUGGGAACAUGCCCUUCGGUACGGAACAACUCAGGGAAACUUGAGCUAAUACCGUAUGCGCCGGCAACGGGAAAGAUUUAUCGCCGAAGGAUUGGCCCGCGUCCGAUUAGCUAGUUGGUGAGGUAACGGCCCACCAAGGCACCGAUCGGUAGCUGGUUUGAGAGAACGACCAGCCACACUGGGACUGAGACACGGCCCAGACUCCUACGGGAGGCAGCAGUAGGGAAUCUUGGACAAUGGGGGAAACCCUGAUCCAGCGACGCCGCGUGUGUGAAGAAGGCCUGCGGGUUGUAAAGCACUUU
RNAcentral lists this ribosomal RNA (346 nucleotides) under uncultured bacterium. RNAcentral describes it as "bacterial SSU rRNA". It matches the Rfam family "Bacterial small subunit ribosomal RNA", at positions 64 to 436 of the family's 1533-position model. The record is from RNAcentral.